This 71-nucleotide transfer RNA is filed under the name Stegodyphus mimosarum. It matches the Rfam family "tRNA". From Rfam's summary of the family: Transfer RNA (tRNA) molecules are approximately 80 nucleotides in length. Their secondary structure includes four short double-helical elements and three loops (D, anti-codon, and T loops). Further hydrogen bonds mediate the characteristic L-shaped molecular structure. tRNAs have two regions of fundamental functional importance: the anti-codon, which is responsible for specific mRNA codon recognition, and the 3' end, to which the tRNAs corresponding amino acid is attached (by aminoacyl-tRNA synthetases). tRNAs cope with the degeneracy of the genetic code in two manners: having more than one tRNA (with a specific anti-codon) for a particular amino acid; and 'wobble' base-pairing, i.e. permitting non-standard base-pairing at the 3rd anti-codon position. The record is from Rfam by way of RNAcentral. Lineage: Eukaryota; Metazoa; Arthropoda; Arachnida; Araneae; Eresidae.
GCUUUUGUGGUUUAAUGCUAGUACACUCGGCGCGUAUUCGAGAGGUCCAGGUUCGAGUCCCGGCGAGGGCG